RNAcentral lists this ribosomal RNA (555 nucleotides) under Pseudacanthicus leopardus. RNAcentral's name for it is "partial 16S ribosomal RNA". It matches the Rfam family "Bacterial large subunit ribosomal RNA", at positions 1808 to 2574 of the family's 2925-position model. The record is from RNAcentral. Lineage: Eukaryota; Metazoa; Chordata; Actinopteri; Siluriformes; Loricariidae.
CAAAAACAUCGCCUCCCGCAAAAAUCAACGUAUAGGAGGUCCUGCCUGCCCAGUGACAAUAAGUUAAACGGCCGCGGUAUCUUGACCGUGCAAAGGUAGCGCAAUCACUUGUCUUUUAAAUGAAGACCUGUAUGAAUGGUGGAACGAGGGCUUAACUGUCUCCCUCUUCCAGUCAAUGAAAUUGAUCCACCCGUGCAGAAGCGGGUAUAACAUUACAAGACGAGAAGACCCUUUGGAGCUUAAGAUAAAAGACCAACUAUGUUAAAAGUCCUAAAAAAGACUAAACUAAAUAGAACUGGUCCCAAUCUUCGGUUGGGGCGACCACGGGAGAAAACAAAGCUCCCAUGCGGACUGGGGUAAUCCCCUAAAACUAAGAAAGACAUUUCUAAGUCACAGAACAUCUGACCAAAAAGAUCCGGCUACAUGCCGACCAACGGACUAAGUUACCCUAGGGAUAACAGCGCAAUCCCCUUCCAGAGUCCAUAUCGACAAGGGGGUUUACGACCUCGAUGUUGGAUCAGGACAUCCUAAUGGUGCAGCCGCUAUUAAGGGUUC